RNAcentral lists this unclassified non-coding RNA (433 nucleotides) under soil metagenome. RNAcentral's name for it is "partial contains 5.8S ribosomal RNA, internal transcribed spacer 2, and large subunit ribosomal RNA". The stretch from base 1 to 120 matches the Rfam family "5.8S ribosomal RNA", at positions 35 to 154 of the family's 154-position model. The record is from RNAcentral.
GAUGAAGAACGUAGCGAAAUGCGAUACGUAAUGUGAAUUGCAGAAUUCAGUGAAUCAUCGAAUCUUUGAACGCAUAUUGCGCUCUUUGGUAUUCCGAAGAGCAUGCUUGUUUGAGUAUCAGUAAACACCUCAAAGCUUUUGGAUUUUUUAAUCGAAAAGCUUUGGACUUGAGCAAUCCCAACACCAAUCUUUUUGAGAUCGGUGGCGGGUUGCUUGAAAUGCAGGUGCAGCUGGACAUUCUCCUGAGCUAAAAGCAUAUUCAUUUAGUCCCGUCAAACGGAUUAUUACUUUUGCUGCAGCUAACAUAAAGGGAGUUUGACCGUAUUGGCUGACUGAUGCAGGAUUUCACAAGGGUCGGCAACGAUUCUUGUUAAACUCGAUCUCAAAUCAAGUAAGACUACCCGCUGAACUUAAGCAUAUCAUAAGCGGAGGA